AACUCAUUCGGCAAAACGCAGCACGCCAUAAAGACGGCGUGACUAACGACGCGCGAUUCGUGACUCAAGUGUGACGGCUGUUGAAUGUUGAGCCAGCGGCUAGCCUAUACGAAGGGCAUGGCUCAUGUAAGGUUUUGCAUUGAGAGGCACCGUGUGCCUCGUUUUCUCACGCCGCACGAAGGUUAGUAUUUUGGAGGUGGUUUUGAUUUGGGAAGAAAAAACCUUUUAUUUCAUUUUUACUCAUAUUUUAGUUUUUUCUUUUUAAUUAUUUAUUCUUUCUUAAUUAGUUAUUCAGCUUGGUAGUGUCAUAUGAGUUUUUUUAUAAGCCAAUGUGAUAUAUGUAUUAUGGAGUUUAUUAUAAGAUUUUUUUUAACCCUCUAGAUGAAAUAUAUAUCUUAAUCCAAAAUUUGACUUAAAUAUAUUAAAUAAAAUCUAAUCAAAUAUUGUUCAACUUAAUUUUUUUAUUAGAUGAUGAUGUUUAUACUACCAACUUAAAUGAAUGUGAUGUCAUAUAAUUAUAUUUUUAUUAUAUAAUUGUUAAAGAGUUGUGAUAUUCAAUAAACUACAAUUUUAGUUUUUGAAAAUGUAGGGUGUUGUCACUUUGGUCCAUAACUUAAUUAAAAUCUUAAAUUAGUUUGUGAAUCAUUAAAACAUCUGUCAGUUUAAUCUAUAACUUUAUAACGACCAUAAAAUAUUUUGAUUAAUUGAAGAUUAAUUUUGAUUUUUGACUAAGUUAGAAAUCAAUGUGACAAUGCUCUAUAAUUUCAAAGACUAAAAGGAUAAUUUUUUCAUAAAUAAAAAUUACGUAGUUUAUAGAAUUUCUUAAUAAAAUUAAUUGAAAACAAAUUAUUAAAAAAAAUAACUGUGAAGAUUCACAUAAUUUAGAGGAUGUAGUACUUCAUACAAAAAAGAAAAUAAUUUAAUGGCUACAAUAAAUCUUUAUAUUUCGGACUUAAGACAAAAGAUUUUAUCUUUUUUGAAAUUUAUGUUGUUGUAAGAGGUGGGAAUAGGUUACACUGAAUUAGAUUUUUUAAUGUCUAUGUUUGUUUUAGUCCAAAAAUUCAAGGUUUAGAUUGAGUCUCAUUUCAUUUUUUAAAUUUGGUAUGGUUUAUUAACUUGCUUUAAUGUUUGGUGCAUGAGUCCUGAUAGAAAUAAUUUUCAACAUAGAUUAAUUAAAAGUAUAGUUCAUUUGAUAAGCUUAUGGUAGUUGUGAUCAAUACAAAACUUAUGCUUAAAAAAGCUUAUUCGGAGAAUGCUUUAUGAACAGUCUUCUCAAAAUAAGAUCAUUAUAUGUUUUAUGCUUCUUUGCAUAAUCAAAACUAUAUAUAAACUAAAGAAACAUGAGCAAAGAGAACGUUGAAAAGUGAAUUUUAUCUUGAUACCCCUAAUUAACUUUGAACUAUGUAUUAUCAACUAUAUAAAUCAAACAAUAUCACAACUGAUACCCCUAAUAAACUUUGAACUACAUAUUAUCAAUUAGAUAAAUCAAACAAUAUCAUAAAUGAUACCCCUAAUCAACUUUGAACAACAUAUUAUCAGUUACAUAAAUCAAACAAUGUCAUAACGUUUUAUCAUAUAGAAAUCUUCAUCCAUAAUCAAAUUCUUUCAAUUCUUUACUCAACAUCAUUAUAAGUAUAUUUUCACUCAAGUUUGGUCACACAUAUACAAAUAUAAAACUCAAUUAUUGUAUUCGGUAAGUCUUUGCACCACAAAGUGUACUAUAGAAAUUUUCUUUAAAACAAAACUAACCCCCAACCUAGUUGAUUUGGAAAGAUUACAAUAUACUAUAUACUUUAAAAAAUAUAGAUAGUGAUUUCAAGUCUAUAAUGUGUGGAUUGUGUCACUGAAUAUAUUGAAAUUAUAAAAUUAUCAUUCAAUGUAUCUUUUGUUUAUAAUUUUAUGAAUCAAAUUGACUAACAUAAGACAUAUCAAAUGAUUAAAUUAACUAAUAAAAGACACAUAAGAAGACAAAACUUAUAGAAGAACGACACUUUCAAAUAUGUUUUAAUAGGUUUAAUAUAUUCUUAAAAAAAUUAUUUUAACUCUUAUAAAAUAAAUUGAAGUGAAGCAAACAUGUGUCAGAAAAUGCAUUUUUGACGAUUGUCCUCAUAGCUUAAACCAUUGUGAUAAUUAACCAAACAACAAAUCUCCAAUGGAAAAAAGAAAAAAAAAGAAUUGCACCUAGAUCAAAACACAAUAAUGUAAACAAGCAACCGUAAAUCUCAAGUUCAACAUGUAUCCAAAAUUAGCAAUUAAGGAUACAUAAAAAUAUUCCUUAUACGAAGGUAGACAUUGAAAAGUUCAUUAGAUAAAUACUAAGAAUUGUACGACGACAUACCUUAUUUGCAUAUGUACACUGAUCGUUUCAUUUCUAUUAUAUGUUAGCUUCAUCCGAUUUGGCAUAAGUACUAGCAACAACGCACCAUGGACAUCUAGCAACGUGAACAUGCAAUAAUAACUAGCUUACUGAACAUGCAAACCGGUGGUCAAAAGAGCUGACUUCAAUAUAUUAUGGAGUGGAAACAAAACGUGGAGUAAUUGCCUCUAAUAAUAGGAUAGAGC
This 2562-nucleotide long non-coding RNA is filed under the name Cicer arietinum (chickpea). Its description in RNAcentral is "long non-coding RNA (CARI_LNC000331)". Lineage: Eukaryota; Viridiplantae; Streptophyta; Magnoliopsida; Fabales; Fabaceae. The record is from RNAcentral.